CAAAGCUUACCAAAAUAAUAAUACUAAUAUUUUUACUCGUUCUUUACCAACCCACUUUCCCUUCUUGUUGGUAGGGAGAACGAGUAUUGUUCUCAGUGCUGUGUAACCCUUUUUCUGUUCCUGUUUUCAUCUCAGAACACACAACACCUACAGACAUGACAAUAGUACCACUGUGAAGCGGGGACGCUGGUCUCAAUUAAAGCAAUGAACUUUUUUUCAGGUUUAAUAGUAUAAUUUUGCGUACUCUUAACAAAUUUUGUGUGUUUUCAUUCUAAGUCCCCGGCCAGAGCUCUUUUGGGCAUGUCGAAAAACGUAGUGUUGGGCCACGAAAAUGAUUGAUCAGUGGAUACUUGCAUUCUACAGAUGUGAUUGACAAUGUUUUAUUAAUACCCUUUUCCCACGAUCAAAGCAUUUUUAAGAGUUUACUUAAUAGAUCCUCGAAAAAUCCUCUAAGUCCCGUGACGGUGGAAGAAGAGACUAAGGUUAUGGCCGCGCCGUGCUGCCACCUUUGGGCAGACAUGGUAACUACUUCACACGGAGCGCGCGCUUUGCGACGAAGUUCUCCGUGCUCUCCACAGAGCGCGACACUAUGUCUGCAAAGGGGUGAACAUGAUCCACGGCCAGUGGCGGGGACCGGCGGGCGUUUUGUUUAUAGUUAUGAAUUCCAAGAAGGGCCCGAAGGCCCGAUAGUGGAUGCUGGAGGGGCAAGGGCAUGCCAGUUGUGUGUCGGUGUCCCACUGUUGCGCAACUUGGGUAUUCCCUUUGUCAGGUGGUGUUGUUCUUUUUCAUCUGACUUUUGAAAUCUCCUCCUGGAAGACAACUCAAAAAGGUUGGAUAUUUCCUGUGUUCAUGUUGUGUCGUGUUUGGCAAGUCUGUUGACUUCUCUUCCUCAAGUGUGUGCAAAAAACAUUGCCAAAAUUUAGUGACCAUAUAUUCCAAGUGACAUUAGUGUUUUGUUGCAAGUGGACUUGUGACCUCUGCUACAGGAGAGUACUCCAGCCUGAAGACAACAAAAACAGAGCACAGGUCAGUUCAAUUUUGGUAAUGUUUCCUGAAACUUUUCGAGAACCGUGAAGACACCUAGAAAUAUGCCAAACAUUCGUAGCAGUACUGUUUAUAAAAGGAAACUAUAUAUUGAAAAAAAAGAAAAGCAAGCAAAUCGAUUAUGUCAAAUUAAUACAUUAAAAAAAAAAAGUAGAUUCUCAAAAUUUCAAAAUAAUGAAGAAAUUGAUGACCAUUUAAAAGCGAUAAAACGUCAAAAGACAAAUCUAAAGGUACAAAAAUUCAGAGAGAUUGAAAAAAAUAAAACAGCAUAUAAUGAGAAAAGGAAAGUUGCUGCUUUUACAUGGGCCAAAGCUCACGAAAUUUAUGAAAGUGAAAUUAGGGAGCUGCAUUGUCACAUCUGUAAUUCAUGUGGGAAACUUUGUAAAAGAAACCAAGUGAAAACUAUAAAAAAGUCUUCUUUGAAAGAAAAAGGUUUUAGAACCUCUGCUAUUAGAAAAAUAUUUUCCGUUCAAAACCUACACUCUGAAGAGUUCUGUACUACAUGUGUAACUUACAUAAACAAAGGUAACAUACCUAAAUUAUGUUUGGCAAAUGGACUUCAACUGCCCGAUGUAGAUGAAGACAUUGCAAAAUUAAAUCGUAUUGAGGAGAGGCUACUUGCACCAAGGCACGUAUUCCAAACAUUGUGGACUGUUAAUGGUGGUAGUGGGCAAUACAAAACUAAAGGUGGUAUUGUCAAUGUGCCUGUUGAUAUGGAUACAACUGUUAGUCAUAUUCCAAGAUCACUGGAGGAUUCCCAUAUGAUUCAUGUCAAACUUGCCAGGAGAAUGCAAUACGUCAGUAAUUACAUGUCUGGUAAUGUCCGUCCAAAACUUUUGUAUAAUGCAGCGAAAAAAUUUGUUCGGAAACCUCUGGCAAUGGAAGAAGGAAUUGAAUUAUCCACAGAUUGGUAUGCUCCUGAAAUUGAUGAUGAAAUGAAUGAUGUCAAUCAUGAUACAGAGUUUUAUAGUCACAAUGCAGUUUUUGAAACAUUAUUAACAUGUGAUAACAUGGAUUUCAUGGGAUCAUCAAAUAAUGGAAUAAGAUUUGCACCUGCAGAAAACUUUAAGCCAACAAGUAUUCUAUUUGAUGACAAUUGUGAGUUUAUGGCUUUCCCAAAAAUUUUUGGUGGUUACAAAAUGGAACCAGAAUACAACAACAAGAAAAUUUCAUAUGCUGAUUUUGCAAAGUCAUUGAUUUUAAGACAUGAUAGGAGAGUUGCAGAAAGAGGAGACUUGCUUUUAUUUAUGGCCAAGAAAUUGGAACUAUUGAAACUGUACAACAGCAUUGGAAUAUGUUUAAGAAAAAAGUCUUUAAAGAAUAAAAAUGUCACUGCACGUGAUAUGUGUGAUUCAAAUUAUGUCAAUGGGGUUGUUCAUCAUAAUGAUGGUUACAAGAUUUUGAAAGGCAUUCGAAGUAGCCCUGCUCAUUGGCAACAGGAGAAGGUGAAAUUGAUGUCCCAAAUACGACAAUUUGACUUACCAACAUUGUUCCUUACUUUAUCAUCUGCUGAUACUAGAUGGCCUGAAUUAAUGGUUGCUUUAAAGAAAUCAGUUGACAACAAAAUUAUUUCUGAAAAGGAAGCAUCAGAAUUAUCCUCUCAUGAAAGGCUACAACUAUUACAAAAAGAUCCUGUUACUGCAGCACUUCACUUUGACCAGAGGUUCAAAGCAGUUCAACGUACAUGGAAGAGCCAUGAAGGCCCAUUCCUGCAUUAUAAAAUUUCACACCACUACCACAGAAUAGAGUUUCAACAGCGAGGAUCCCCCCAUGUCCAUAUGUUACUGUGGUUGGAAGGUGCUCCUAAAUUUAAUGUCAAUGAUCCCCAUACAUAUAUUGAUGUCAUUACUUUCAUUGACAAGAUUAUUUCAUGUUCAUCUGAAAACUUAGAAGAGGAUUUAGUUAAACUUCAAACCCAUAAGCAUUCUCACACUUGCAAGAGAAAAAAUGGCAACAGUGAUGACUGUAGGUUUGGCAUUCCUUACUUUCCAAUGAAAACCACUCGGAUUCUUUCACCUUUACCAAAUGAUGUGGAAGUGAGAGUUCUUGCCAAAUACAAACGUAUCCUACAAAAAAUAAAAAAUAUAUUAAAUGAACCAAAGACUACCCUUUUAAGUUAUGAAGAUUUUUUAAAUGCUCUCCAUCUCACUGAAAAGAGGUACCUUAAAGUGAUAAGAUCAACUCUUCGUACCCACCAAGUUUUCAUUAAAAGAAAACCAAAAGAUACUUUCAUAAGCCCAUAUUCAAGGAAAAUAUUAACUUUGAUGAGAAGUAACAUGAAUCUACAAUUUGUUCUUGAUGCUUAUGGGGCAGCAUGCUACAUAAUUGACUACAUCAACAAAUCAUGUAGAGGGAUGAGCAAAAUUAUGCGCAAUGUACUCAAGGAAAUUAGAGAAGGAAAUGAAAAUUUACAGCAAUCUCUAAGGAAAAUUAGUAACACAUUUCAUAACAAUAGUGAACUUAGCAUUCAAGAAGCAGUGUACAAUAUCUUACAAUUACCACUGUCCAAAUCCAGUGAGGAGUGCAUUUUCAUUCCAACGUUCCCACCACAAGAAAGAGUACAUUUGGUUAAGAGUCAAAGUGAACUUGAAAUGUUGGAUGAGACAUCCACUGAUAUUUAUGAACAUGGACUACUUGAACACUAUGUACAUCGUCCACAUUCUUUGGAAGAUCUGUCAUUAGCUGACUUUGCAGCUAAUUACAGAUAUGCUUCAAAAUGUGGACCAAAUUCUAUCCCUUUGUUGAAUAAUAAUGGUCACAUAUUCCUCAGGAGGCAGCCUCGAGUUAUUCGUUUCAGAAAUUAUCAUUAUGAAAUAGACUCUGAAAAUUUCUUAAGAGAACAAGUCAUGCUUUAUGUACCAUGGAGGAAUGAGGAGAGAGACAUCAUAAAUCAAGAUCUGGAAACUCAGUUUCACAACAACAAAGAGCAAAUUAGAACAAUCAGGAAAAAAUACAGCACAUUUGAUGAUAAAGCAUUAUUUGAUGCUUUGGAGGUUGCUAUGGAACGAACUGAAAGUGACGAAGAAGCCUUUGAUAAGGGAACUAGACCAACUUUUGAUUUUGAUGAUUUUUCACUACAAGAUGAAUAUAACUUUGCUGAUAUCCAACGGGAAUUUGAAGAAGAUUACUCAUCUCAUGUGUCUUUCACAUCACCAGUUAAAAUGCCCAACAAAGAUUAUCAGGAUUUGGUGACAAAAUUGAAUCAAGAGCAAAGGAACUAUGUCAUGCAUGUUGUAGAUACUCUAGAAAAAACUGAAGAGCAAGUACUUCACUUUUUAACAGGUGGAGCUGGAGUCGGCAAAUCACUGGUUAUUAGUACUUUAUAUCAGACAUUAUUUCGGUUAUUUAAUGCUGAUCCUAACACCAAUCCUGAUGAUCCAAAAGUAUUAUUAUGUGCGCCAACAGGCAAAGCUAGCUUUAAUAUUGGUGGACAAACAAUUCAUUCCCUGUUCAAAUUACCAUUAAAUCAAAAAAACCUAAAUCAAUUGUCUCCAAGUGUUUCAAACACUUUGUCAACUAAGUUACGUGAACUGAAAGUUCUAAUAAUUGAUGAAAUAUCCAUGGUUGGACAACACAUAUUAGAUAUGAUUGAUCAACGAUUACGACAUUUGCUUCAAUCCAAGUUGCCUUUUGGAGGGGUAUCCAUAAUUGCUGUGGGAGACUUCCAUCAAUUGCGGCCAGUAGCUGCAAGAGCCUUAUUUUAUCCAGAGGCAAGUAAUCCUUAUCAAGAAAUUUUCAGUGAAAAAUUAUGGCCAAAAUUUAAAGUAUACGAACUGAAAUGUAUAAUGCGACAAAGUAAUAAAAAAUUCCAAACAGCAUUAAACCAUUUGGCAAAGGGAAAAUUACAGAAAGAAGACAUUGCAUUAUUCUCAUCACGAUGUUUCAAAACAGUACCUAAAAAAGAAGAUCUCUCAGAUGCAUAUCAUUUGUUUGCAAGAAAUGAUGACGUUGAUAAUUAUAAUAAUCACAUUAUGAACAAACUUAAAGGCAAAUUAAUAACUUGUGAAGCUUCUGAUGUUAUUCGGGGCAAUGGGUCUCAAUUAGCACAACGACAAAUACUGUACACUUUAAAUACAAAGAAAACAAACCAAACAAUGGGUAUACCAAAAUCUUUACCCUUAAAAAUUUCUGGAAAGUACAUGAUGACCUACAAUGUGAACACAGAGGAUGGACUUUGCAAUGGAGCAACAGGUACAUUAAUGAGGAUUGAUCAAGGAAAAAAUAAUGAUGGCGAUAAAAAGCCACUACGUUUAUGGAUUAAAUUUGAUGAUCCCAAAGUAGGAUCUUUGCUAAGAAAGAAGUUCCACAGCAAAAUGAGGAACCUACAAAUACCUGAUGAUUGGACUCCAAUUGAACCUAUUACUGUUACAAUUCAAACAAAGAAAAAUUCAACAUUGAAAGUGAAUAGAAAACAAUUCCCUUUGGUUGUUGCUCAUGCUUUCACCAUACAUAAAAGUCAAGGACAAACGUUACAGAAAGUGGUACUACAUAUAAAAGGUAGAAUGUCAAGGGAACUGUUAUAUGUAGGGUGUUCAAGAGCCACAUCACUAAAUGGUCUAUACAUAAUUGGAUCAUUCCCAAUCCCGAAACGCUUAGAGAAAACUUCACACCUUGGACAUGAAAUAAAAUCAUGGAAGAGAAGAACAUUACUUCCCAAGUACUCUUUCUUGUGUGAUAGGUCAAAAAACUUGCAAAUAGUGUACCACAACGUACAAUCACUAACUAAACAUAUUAAUUUGGUGAGAAAUGAUGAUGUUUUCAUGAACAGUGAUUUGCUAAUUUUUGGAGAAACCUGGACUUUGCACAAAGAUGUUAAUGAUUUAGAAAAUUUCACACUAUUGGCUAAAACAGACAGUGGACUCAUUCGUAAACCAAGAGGGAUUUCUGUUUAUGCUAGAAAAAACCUAUUGAAUUCAAUCAUAUCAUGUGAUGCAUAUACCAUCAAAGAUACAAAAGCUUGCAUAGAUUUUGCUGUUGUCAAAAUGACCAAUUUAACUGUUAUUGGAAUCUAUGCUUCUCCUAAAUGUGCUAUUACUCACUGGCAUAAAUUCUUCAAGAGAGUUCAGAAUGUACUACAAACAAAAUGUAUAAUUGUGGGAGAUUUCAACAUCAAUCAUAUGAAAAUGAAAAGGAGGAACUUUAUGAACAUUUUCCUCCAAAAAUUCAACCUGCAUCUUAAAAACACUUCAAUAGCAACAACACAUAGCAAUACCGCUAUUGACUGGAUACUUUCUAAUACCAGCAAACUAAAGUGCGGAACAUACAACUCACUGUUCAGCCAUCAUUACCCAUUGUGGAUUACAAAGAAAUAUGAAAACUAGAGCCAAGAAAGUUAAUUAUAAAAAACUAUCACAAGGAAAUUUAAGUGACGACAUGGAUAUUGAGCCACCAACUCUAACACACAUGACUGAUUCGGAUUCAGACUAUACUAUGACAACUCCACUAAAGUCAUCAAUUGUCUCCAGCGAAAAAAAUAUGGAGAAGCAUUACAUCAAGGAGUCUUCAAACUUCAAACCCUUCAUUAAG
Frankliniella occidentalis (western flower thrips) is the source of this 6570-nucleotide RNA transcript. It is a transcript of the gene named cystathionine beta-synthase-like protein, with no coding region annotated. Lineage: Eukaryota; Metazoa; Arthropoda; Insecta; Thysanoptera; Thripidae. The record is from RefSeq and is a predicted model, not a curated record. The transcript is spliced from 8 exons.